Molecule: long non-coding RNA, 697 nt
Organism: Cyprinus carpio carpio
Lineage: Eukaryota; Metazoa; Chordata; Actinopteri; Cypriniformes; Cyprinidae
Source: Ensembl
GGUCAGUAUAGGAGAUCGCUGGAGACUCAGAGGUGAGUGUAGGAGAUCGCUGGAGACUCAGAGGUAAGUAGAUCACUGGAGACAUGAUGGUCAGUAUAGGAGAUCGCUGGAGACUCAGAGGUGAGUGUAGGGGAUCACUAGAGACGUGAUGGUCAGUAUAGGAGAUCGCUGGAGACUCAGAGGUGAGUGUAGGAGAUCACUAGAGACGUGAUGGUCAGUAUAGGAGAUCGCUGGAGACUCAGAGGUGAGGGUAGGAGAUCGCUGGAGACUCAGAGGUGAGUAUAGGAGAUCACUGGAGACAUGAUGGUCAGAAUAGGAGAUCGCUGGAGACUCAGAGGUGAGUAUAGCAGUCCCAGACAUAAAAGACAAUUUGAAUAACAAAUUUUUGUAUAGAAAAAUCAAUAAAAUAGUUUAAACAAAAAUAUGCACUAAAUAAAUGGAUGUGAUCAUUCAUUAAAAGCAUGUGGUUGUUUUUCUUAUAAGAAAAGGUAUUAUUUUAUUAGUAAAAAAAAAGCACCGAAGUUGACAUGGACCAAUGAGAAGACUAAAGUUAAACAGUGAACUCCCUUCUUUUAUCCAUUUAUGUCAUUUAUGUUCAUGUAUAUGUAAACACCUACACUGGUGUGUGUAUAAGAUUUUUUUAACACUAAUAACAAAUAAUACAAAAUUUAUCAAAAAUUACAGUAAAGACUUUUAC